Tympanuchus pallidicinctus (lesser prairie-chicken) is the source of this 2495-nucleotide long non-coding RNA. RefSeq lists it as uncharacterized. The transcript is spliced from 3 exons. NCBI's taxonomy places the organism in Eukaryota, Metazoa, Chordata, Aves, Galliformes, Phasianidae. The record is from RefSeq and is a predicted model, not a curated record.
GUCAAAUGACAUUUGUUUCAGGUUCAGUAUUUCUCAGGUUAAAUUCUUUAGUCAGGCAGUGGUGUUUAUUACAACAGAGAAUUGAUUGGGUCAUGUAGGGCACAGAAUACAAAUAGCAGUGUCAUUCACCAAUAGGUACCACAAUUUCCUCCAACAUGUACUGAACUCCUACCAGUCCUUCCAGCACCAGGGGAAGAGAAACAUGAAAGAGUAUCACUAAAAUACACUUCGUUUCCAUUUCUAUAUCUUAAAUAAGCCCUGAGGCUAAGGCUCAAAUGAGUGACAGCCUGGCUUAUGUUGUUUUAGUCUACAAAAGUGUUUUAUCAAAUCGGUAGUACUGUGUGUCAGUCAUAUGUGACCUCUGUAUGGAAAAUGUUUACACGAUAUUAUUAACUGUUUUGCUCCAGGGUUUCCUCAUGAAUCUGUGAUAUCCUCUGCAUUAACAACACGAAUAGCUGUUGUGUGUCUGUAACUACGCUUCCCAGAUCUCCAACCUCUUUCUGGGAACGACUAUUUGAAAAUGCACUCUUACACAUACCCAGAGCCUUACCAAGAACAUUUCUUUAGAAAUUUUUGGAAAAAGUUAUUACAAAAUUCCAGCCUGGGUUUUCUGUUUUGUCUGAUGGACUUUCAGCCACUUAGUAAGUCACCUGUUCCCAGUUCAGUUUCUCCCAUUAAACAGUAGAUACAAUAAAUAAAUAAAUAAAUAAAUAAAUAAAAAGCAGAAAAUCAAAGGCAUGAUUAUCCAAUUCAGUGAUAUAAACAUGAUAUUUCCUCUCAAUUGUAUUAUUGUUACAAAUACUGACAUUUCACAAAAAGAAACAUCAUUUACCCAAAUUUUGCAUCAUGUUGACUUUUCUAGGAAAAUGACAGCUUUAUCAAGUCCCUUUCCAAGUCUUUUUCAGACACACACAUCCCUUGUUUCCUUUUAGAACACUGCAUACACCAUCUCUUUGCGUUAUGUUUUUCUUUCUUUCUUUCCUUUCUGCCUUAUGAGACUUGUUUUACUUAGACAAGGUUAUUUCUUCAGACCACAAAAUAACAGCUUUGUGAGUGACCUGUGAUCCACUCUUCCACACUCCAGGAAGGACCUAUAUUUGAAAGCUACACAUGAUCCUUCAUACCCUUAAAGAGAAGACAAGGUGUUUCAGGUAGAACCUUACUCUCAAGCUGCCUUGUGUAUUCAAAUAAUACAGACUCUGCAGCUUUGUGGGUGAGUAAUGGAACCAAAAUCUAUUCAUGAAGGCAGGGUUGGUUUUUACAUCUGUUUUACUCAUUAGGGCUUCUUUAUGAUCCUGAUCCACAAAAUAGUCUCAUCAGUGAAACUGUGAUGCUACUAACCAUGCUUUGUAUAAGAAUAAGUCACUGAAGGCAUUGAACCUCACAGAAAGCAUAGACACAGCUAUAGGAAAGUUUUAGGAAUGGCCUUCCAGCACACUACCUCACUUUAACCUCUUGCUUCUCACUCUGACGACUCCAUAUAUCCUCAUAAACAUGCCCAACAUUUCAGACAUACUUGGUGCCACUUGCUACAAGAAUUCAACCAAGACAGCAUCUUCUCAUGAUUUCAUGUCUGUGUCAAUACAUGGCUCCCAGGGAAUGCCUCCACCUCAAGAGGCGAGUAUAUGCAGAGGUCAAAGUAGGGAAAUAAUCAUGUUUCUAGCUCCUUAAGGACUUUGCUCGUUCAAAGCUGGCCAUUAUACCAAGACUGAACUGGUUAUUGGUUUAAAAAAAAAUUAGAAGACUGUGUAGAACACCAUCUAGUCAUAUUCCUUUGAUUUCAGAAAGUCCAAGUCAAACUCAGUACUAUGCAGGGGAAGAGCAAGAUACCAGUACAGAAGAGAAGCACUGACAACUGUGACAACAAUUUGCAAUUCUACUCAGAGCUUCUCAAGCUGUGACUUCUAGACCAGUGCUUCAACAAAGAGUGGAGAAUGAAAAUUAUCAGUGUAGUCACUGACAGAUAUGUUUCUUCUGGCUGAAUAAUUUAUCUUGAAAGUAUUUGGACAUCUGCUCCAGGUCGCUUACCUUUCAGAGCAGUUAUUCUUAUGUCACUGCUGUUCCUACAAAUGCUGACAUUGGCAGCUAACCAAAAGGAGCCCAAAAUACCAGCUUUCGGAGACAGAGAUGGGAAGAGAUUUUCUUCUUAUAUCCUAAAGUAAUAAAAGGUGACUCAGAGUUUUCUUCUUCUCAUUGAAAGCUUUAGACAACACCAAUCAGAAAACUCCUGGAAGCAACAGCCACCCCAAAACACUUCUGCAGAAAAAGGAAGAGUAAAAUAUUGUGUCUGGGAAACCACCCGGCUCCCAAGAAGUAUUACGAGGAAGAGAGAUCUUCACCUCCAGCAACCUGCUGAACUUUACAUCUAUGUUAAAUAGAAAACUCAGGAAAGAUAAUUGUACCUGAAUUUGAUGCAAGCAUUCCUUUUAUUUUGUCUUUUAGACUGUUGACUAUUACCUCUUUACCUCUUUUAAAUGCAUGGAGUUUUAACAAGC